RNAcentral lists this long non-coding RNA (203 nucleotides) under Hordeum vulgare. Its description in RNAcentral is "long non-coding RNA (HVUL_LNC009926)". The record is from RNAcentral. Lineage: Eukaryota; Viridiplantae; Streptophyta; Magnoliopsida; Poales; Poaceae.
GAUACAUGACAAGAAUAGUUUGUUCACAUCUCCGCAAAACUCGACCAAGUUUGUUUAAUUAACCUUCCAAAGAAAUUCCGUAAUCGGACAAAUCAUAAAUGAAAACCUCAACAAUCUUUUCACCAAAUUAGAGAAUACUACGAUGAUACAUCUUUGAGAUUUUUUUUUAAAAGUACUUCCGAUUUUCUACCAAAUUCGAAAAG